GGACGAACGCUGGCGGCGUGCUUAACACAUGCAAGUCGAGCGGUAAGGCCCUUUCGGGGGUACACGAGCGGCGAAUGGGUGAGUAACACGUGGGUGACCUGCCCUCAGCUCUGGGAUAAGCCUGGGAAACCGGGUCUAAUACUGGAUAUGACUCCAUGACGCAUGUUGUGGGGUGGAAAGCCUUGUGCGGCUGAGGAUGGGCCCGCGGCCUAUCAGCUUGUUGGUGGGGUGAUGGCCUACCAAGGCGACGACGGGUAGCCGGCCUGAGAGGGCGACCGGCCACACUGGGACUGAGACACGGCCCAGACUCCUACGGGAGGCAGCAGUGGGGAAUCUUGCGCAAUGGGCGAAAGCCUGACGCAGCGACGCCGCGUGAGGGAU
This 381-nucleotide ribosomal RNA is filed under the name uncultured bacterium. RNAcentral describes it as "bacterial SSU rRNA". It matches the Rfam family "Bacterial small subunit ribosomal RNA", at positions 27 to 409 of the family's 1533-position model. The record is from RNAcentral.